CCUACGGGGGGCAGCAGUGGGGAAUAUUGCACAAUGGGCGAAACCCUGAUGCAGCAACGCCGCGUGAGUGAAGAAGUACUUCGGUAUGUAAAGCUCUAUCAGCAGGGAAGAAGAAAGACGGUACUUGUCUAAGAAGCACUGGCUAACUAUGUGCCAGCAGCAGCGGUAAUACGUAGGGGGCCAGCGUUAUCCGGAUUUACUGGGUGUAAAGGGAGCGUAGACGGUUGUGCAAGUCUGCAGUGAAAGGCCGUGGCUCAACGGCGGAACUGCUGUGGAAACUGUAUAGCUGGAGUGCUGGAGAGGCAGGCGGAAUUCCUGGUGUAGCGGUGAAAUGCGUAGAUAUUAGGAGGAACACCAGUGGCGAGGGCGGCCUGCUGGACAGAAACUGACGUUGAGGAUCGAAAGCGUGGGGAGCAAACAGGAUUAGAUACCCCAGUAGUC
This 441-nucleotide ribosomal RNA is filed under the name uncultured bacterium. RNAcentral describes it as "partial 16S ribosomal RNA". It matches the Rfam family "Bacterial small subunit ribosomal RNA", at positions 338 to 795 of the family's 1533-position model. The record is from RNAcentral.